AGUCCUCACCUCCCACAUGCUUUUCAUCACCCGCUCUCACAUCCCAUCUGGGGCCUCUGCUUCCAUCCUACCAUUUCGCAAGCCUGGCCAACUCAAGCUCCGUGUGCUGCACCUAGAGCAGCCCAUCUCUGUGUCAGGGAGGUGAGCUGCUCAGUUGCCAGAGUAUCAACCUGAGCCCAGGACACUGCCAGACUGCUGAGUCAAAGAGGGUUUAGCAGCCCAUUUUCAUAGACAGACAGGUGAGAGGAGGAUGCUGGACAUGGUCCCAGAGACAUGGGGACUCAAGAAACAUGAAGAUCUGUUCACAGCUAAGGGCACAUUUCCAUGCCGAGAAAUCAGGCGUGAGCGCAAGAGUCCUAUCGUCUACCAGAAAAAGAAAUCUUUGGGAGAACUGCAAUCCAAGCAAAUGUGGUGGGUGUGAAGCUUUCAAGAAGUUGGGUCAAGAACAAGGACUGAAAGAGGAGCAU
This 467-nucleotide long non-coding RNA is filed under the name Homo sapiens (human). RNAcentral's name for it is "non-protein coding lnc-FBLL1-4:15". The record is from RNAcentral. Lineage: Eukaryota; Metazoa; Chordata; Mammalia; Primates; Hominidae.